AUUGAACGCUGGCGGCAGGCCUAACACAUGCAAGUCGAGCGGGGUUUUCGGACCUAGCGGCGGACGGGUGAGUAAUGCGUAGGAGGCUGCCCGAUAGAGGGGAUACCAGUUGGAAACGACUGUUAAUACCGCAUAAUGUCUACGGACCAAAGUGUGGGACCUUCGGGCCACAUGCUAUCGGAUGCGCCUACGUGGGAUUA
RNAcentral lists this ribosomal RNA (200 nucleotides) under uncultured bacterium. RNAcentral's name for it is "partial 16S ribosomal RNA". It matches the Rfam family "Bacterial small subunit ribosomal RNA", at positions 30 to 243 of the family's 1533-position model. The record is from RNAcentral.